This 495-nucleotide ribosomal RNA is filed under the name uncultured bacterium. RNAcentral's name for it is "partial 16S ribosomal RNA". It matches the Rfam family "Bacterial small subunit ribosomal RNA", at positions 28 to 507 of the family's 1533-position model. The record is from RNAcentral.
GACGAACGCUGGCGGCGUGCCUAAUACAUGCAAGUAGAACGCUGAAGGAGGAGCUUGCUUCUCUGGAUGAGUUGCGAACGGGUGAGUAACGCGUAGGUAACCUGCCUGGUAGCGGGGGAUAACUAUUGGAAACGAUAGCUAAUACCGCAUAAUAGUAGAGGUUGCAGGACAUUUGCUUAAACGGUGCAAUUGCAUCACUACCAGAUGGACCUGCGUUGUAUUAGCUAGUUGGUGGGGUAACGGCUCACCAAGGCGACGAUACAUAGCCGACCUGAGAGGGUGAUCGGCCACACUGGGACGGGGACACGGCCCAUACUCCUGCGGGAGGCAGCAGUAGGGAAUCUUCGGCAAUGGACGGAAGUCUGACCGAGCAACGCCGCGUGAGUGAAGAAGGUUUUCGGAUCGUAAAGCUCUGUUGUAAGAGAAGAACGAGUGUGAGAGUGGAAAGUUCACACUGUGACGGUAUCUUACCAGAAAGGGACGGCUAACUACGUG